RNAcentral lists this long non-coding RNA (4003 nucleotides) under Sus scrofa (pig). RNAcentral describes it as "lncRNA (ENSSSCG00065056577.1)". Lineage: Eukaryota; Metazoa; Chordata; Mammalia; Artiodactyla; Suidae. The record is from RNAcentral.
AAGCAGAGGCGAGAAUACCAUGUGCUCUCCUGCACGCUCCAGAUGUGGGCUCCCACCUCUCCCCCAGGGCUGUGCUCUCCCGUGCUUCUGUCUCCCCCCGCCCCAUUAUCCAUUCUCAAGUGACCAACAGCAUGCUGACCUGGCCCUCUGAUGCAGUAGAAUCUCCGAGGUUCUGUGGGCUGUUCCCUCAGCCUUAACAUGGAACAGCAGCAAGGAGAAAAUGGUCCUGAAUACAUCUAGCAAAUUUAACCGCAAACUGAAGAGGGAACGUGAUACUUCGAGAACCUUCCAAGCUGCAAAUUCUAGGACCAAUGGCUAUCACAAAUAGACCCACAACCCCCAACUGCCUAGUGAGAGAGGAAACCCAACAGAAAACCAGAAUGUCCGUUGCUGGACGUGUUUCUCCAGAAAAACAAUGUCAUGGCCCCCAGCCAGCUCCAGAGUCUAACUUCAUCCAUUAAGGGGGCUGAAACUCUAUUUGCAGGGGAAAAAAAAAAUAACUGCAGGCAAUUCCUGGCAGGCACACAAACUCUGAAGGCUGAUACAGCCCUACUUCUUAAGUAACUAAUUUUCUUUUUUUAUUAUUAUUAUUAAAUGGCUGCACCUGUGGCAUACAGCAGUUCCCAGGCCAGGGACUGAAUCUGAGCCCCAGCUGUGACCCACACUACAGCUGCAGCAAUGCCAGAUCCUUUAACCCACUGCACUGAGCUGGGGAUCGAACCUGCACCUCUGCAGAAACCCGAGCCAUUGCAGUCAGAUUGUUAGCCCACUGCACCGCAGCGGGGAACGCCUAGUAACUGAUUUGCAUUAAAACAGGAAUGGCUUUCCUUCUCCUUGACAAAACUGUCGCCUCUUUUCAUACCUUCCAGGUUAAGACUGGGACCAUUUCUGGGUCACGAGUUUCUGAAGGGCAAGAGUAUCAGGAGUUAAGAGAGCACAAAAGGGGAUGAGAAGAGGCCAGCUGUCCCCCAUACCAGGCCCUGGGUGACGCCGCGUGACCAGCGCAGCUGUGUCACCUGGUACCUGGCUGGGCUGAACAACGGCCUGGCGAGCGGCAGUGGGGGCGAAAGGUUAAUGUGUAACCGCUUCCUGUCCCUUUUUCUCAGAUACUUACGGAAGCUUCCAGUCAGGAACACGAGGAUCUGAUUCAAAUAUCGCCAGCUUUCCUUCCCACUGCUGGAGGCACCAAAGGUGGUGACGUCACAGAGUCAGACAAGAGGAGAGGAUGAGAAGCCAGAACGAAGCUCCAAGACGGCAAAAUGCAGAGACAACUGCAGUGGGUUUCUAUCAAGGGAACGGAGCUCGCCCCCGAACAAUCCGCUUGCACAAACAGGAUGGGAGGCAGGAGAGGACUGACUUGGGAGAACAUUACCAGAGGCUGCUUAGUUACCCAGGAAGGGGUACUCAAGUCACUUUGCUAACUUCAGCUUCAUCAACAGAUGAGAUGCAAAGACGGGGCUGGUCACCUCUGCAAUUCCGUAUUCACUCUCCUACCCACUCCCCCAUCCAAGGAAAAUAGUGAUCUGAAACCCCACAUUCCAAGUCCUAAACUCGGGGAGUUCCACCGCGGCUUUAACGAACCCAACUAGAAUCCAUGAGGAUGCGGGUUCAAUCCCUGGCCCUGCUCAGUGGGUUAAGGAUCCAGCGUUGCCAUGAGCUGUGCUAUAGGUCGCAGAUGCAGCUCGGAUCUGAUGCGGCUGUGGCAUACACCAGCAGCUGUCGCCCUGAUUCAACCCCGAGCCUGGGAACGUCCAUGUGCCACAGGUGCGGCCCUAAAAAGCAAAAAAAAUAAAUUAAUUAAAAUAAAAAUUUUAAAAUAAUAAAGUACUAAACUCAUUAUUCACCGUCACAAAACAAUCCUUACAAGCUGAAGGAAGUGCUGAAUACAGGGUUUUUUUCCCUUACACCGAUGAUUCUAUCACUAGGAUCCCUUCCUCCACGCUAAUCAGAGGUAAGCAGCCAAGCAGAGGAACUAAGAAUGAGUCAGCACAUUUAGAAAGGAUUUAUACCCAUUCUUAGAAGGACAGCCAGAGGAAACACCAUCCGGAGGUCUAAACAAUAGUAUCUGCUUGCCCUUUGAUCCGAGUUUAAGAACACGCUGUACAAGGUUUUUGUUGUAACACCACGGAAAUCUCCCAUGUACCACUUAAAAUCUCCUUAGGAGACCACACACUUGCAGUCAGAUUCUCCAAACGCUUUUUGCUCUGAAUAGCUUGCCGGCCUGGAUUAAUCUUCUGCUAACAAAAAUCUCCAUUAAGUACAGGCAGCUUCCAUGAAAAAUAGGACGCCUAAGACAGUACAGUGGAUCUGGUUACACAUCCAAGUAGGGAGUAUUCUGUUUUUCCUCUAAUUUAUGAUUCCCAAGAGUAAUUCAAAAGAUGGCCCGUAUUUUUAGCACAGUACGUUUCUUGUUACUCGUACUAAUAUAUGCUGAUUCCCCUUUCUGACCGUAAUUUGAGGUUUUUUAUUUCGUUUUCUCCUAGCAUCUGUAGAUCAGCAGCUCAUUAAUUUAGAAUAAGUAAAUAAAGUCUGAAAUGCAACGUUAAUGAAACCUGGGAGCUACUCUGAGAUGUAAAGCACAUUACACAUUAAUAUACACGUGAGUAAUUAACAAGGAGGUAUAUAAACAAAGCACCAUGAUAGGAGUUCCCGCCGUGGCGCAGUCGUUAACAAAUCGGACUAGGAACCAUGAGGUUGUACGUUCGAUCCCUGGCCUUGCUCAGUGGCUUGAGGAUCUGGCGUUGCCGUGAGCUGUGGUGUGGGUCGCAGACGCGGCUCGGAUCCACGUGGCUACCUACACCUGUGGCGUAGGCCAGCGGCUACCACUCCGAUUGGACCCCUAGCCUGGGAACCUCUAUAUGCCCCGGGAGUGGCUCAAGAAAAGGCAAAAAGACAAUAAAAUAAAAUAAAAUAAAGCACUAUAACAGACAUUAGAUGUCAUGAGUUUCAACCCAGCUUCCCUUCCCUCGCAUGUUUUACUUAGGAAAAAUCAGGUGUGCCAUUUGCAAACGAUCUCAAUAAAAUCAGGUGUACCCUUCCAGAUUCGCAAAACAAGGAUUUUAAAUGAAUGUGUCUACUCUCACUCAUUCAGUCUUAAGCUCCUUCAAGAUGCUCAGCUCUAUGCCGGGAACUUAGGUUAUGAUGAUGGAUAAGCCCGGGGGCUUUUAGAGGCUGACAUCCUACAGGGGCGACAAACAAAGGAGUAAGCACAUUUUCAAAGGAAUAAAAAAAAAAAUACUCCUCGUGAGAAGCGCAACCAAGGAAAUAAACAGGGCGCUGUGAUGGUAAAUAAGUGGGGGGCGGGGCGGCCCGGAUCUCCACGGAGUGGUUAGAGACGGCUUCCUCUGCGAGGUGACUUUUAAGCUGAGACCCGAGAUAUUUCAGCAGACCUCGCCAAGGUCACCAGAUUGGCAGGCUUGCCUCCGAGGCCCUGAUGGAAUGCAGGUUCACGCGUGCACCCAGCUUGCCCGGGCACUCUGCACACAGCCAGUAAGGACUAAGGUCCCCAGACUACGCACCCAGAGAGUGUGCGAAACCAUCACUACAAACAAGUGAGCAGCCUCUGGGAUGUGCAAGAGAAAUUCAUCCUGUUGAUUCAGACUUCCUGCCAGCCAGCCACUCUGACCUACACGCCUCCAAGUGUUUUAAAUGUAUUUUAUGAGUAAGCAACUCCCCUGCCCCUGGGGAAAAAAAGGAUGUUUACAACUAUAUAACACAUUCCUUUGUACUUUCAGUUCCUCACUUAUCUAACUCUGUAGGUAUCAGAGGAUGGAAAGCCCAUAUGCUGUAACGUUAUCUUUCUGUAGAUUCUAUAGUCACACAGUGCAGUAGCCAAUAUGCCAUUGACACAGAGUAAUAGAUCUGGGGAUGCCUCCAAACAUCUUUUUUUUGGAGAAUCCAGGCUGCUAAGCACUUGCUUUCUUCAAAUCAACUGUCCUUAUGCUCGGAGUUAUGAUAAUCAGAUUUCAUCACAGUUCAGCUUCUCAUUGUGAAAGGCUCCUGU